Molecule: long non-coding RNA, 1170 nt
Filed under: Homo sapiens (human)
Lineage: Eukaryota; Metazoa; Chordata; Mammalia; Primates; Hominidae
Description: HSALNT0112396
Source: RNAcentral
UGAGUUUUCCAGGUCAACAGAGUUGUGUACCUAGGAGGAUUAUUGCUGCCUUUGCUGAGUCAUGCAGGUUGUCAGGGGAGUAGGGGAAAGCUGGCAGUCACAGGCUUCACCCAGCUCCCACACAAUCUGAAGAGCUGGUCUCACUCCCACUGUGCCACCUCCAACAGCACAGAGUCUGUUUCCAGGCAGCAGGCAAGCAGGGCUUGAGAACUUUCCCCAGGCUACCCGCCUCCCAGCUGUGAAAGAAAAGGACUUUAGUUCUUCCCCCACCUGUGGAAUCUGCUGGCUGGAUUCAUGCCCUCCAGCAAGUUCUGGCCAGGAGGCUUCUCACCUGGUUCAAAUUGUUACAAAGUUCAGCUGGAGACUUCCUUCUCCCUGUGGCAUUUUCCCCAUACCUCUGGACACCCUCCUGAAGGAUCCCUGUGGUGCCAGGCAUGAAUGGCCUGCUUGGGGACCCAAUGAGUUCCCAGGACCCUUCCUGCUGCUUCUUCUACCCUUGUAUUUUGCUUGGCUGUCUAAAUUGACUCAGCUCCAGGUAAGGUCAGAAACUUCUGCAAACCUUCCGUUUCCCCAGUAGGGGUGUGUGUUCAGGAGCAGAGGAUCUCCCUUUUCUACUUCCACAGUUUGGGCACUCACAGUAUCUGGGGUGUCUCCCAGGUCGUGCAGGAUCACUCUGCUUCCUUCAGAGGGUCUGUGGGUCCUCUGGGGAUUCAUGGUUUGUUCUUGCAGUCAUUCUGGAGCUAAAAUUCACGAUGCGAGCCUCCGCAUGCCGCUCUGUCUGAGUAGGAGCUGCAAUCUAGUCCUGCCUCUCAUCCACCGUGAUGAUCUCCUUAAUUGCUGCUGCUCACCUCCCGCUAUGCAGCUCAGUUCCUAACAGGACACAGACUGGUACAGAUCUGUGGCUUGGGGGUUGGGGACCCACAAUUAUGGAGGUUGAGAAGUUCCUAGGAUCUGCAGACAGCAAGCUGGAGACCUGUGAGAGCCAGAGAUGUAAAUUCCAGUCUGAGUUCAAAGUCCUGAGAACCAGGAGAGUUGGUGGCAGUCUCAGAGAGUAGGAGAAAACUGAUGUCCCAGCUUAACUGUCAGUCACAAAGAGAGCGUGAAUUAUUUCUUCCUCCAUGUCUUUGUGCUAUUUUGGGCCCCAGUGGCUUUAAUAUUUGGAGAAGUGAG